RNAcentral lists this non-coding RNA (31 nucleotides) under Mus musculus (house mouse). Lineage: Eukaryota; Metazoa; Chordata; Mammalia; Rodentia; Muridae. The record is from RNAcentral.
UUCUAACGAUGUAUAACAGGCAACUCUCCCU